GCCAUUUUAGCUUAGUGGUAGAGCGUCUGCUUCGUAAGCUGAGGGUCGUCAGUUCAAUCCUGGCAAGUGGCU
Molecule: transfer RNA, 72 nt
Filed under: Perkinsus olseni
Lineage: Eukaryota; Perkinsozoa; Perkinsida; Perkinsidae
Description: tRNA-Thr
Rfam family: tRNA
About the family: Transfer RNA (tRNA) molecules are approximately 80 nucleotides in length. Their secondary structure includes four short double-helical elements and three loops (D, anti-codon, and T loops).
Source: RNAcentral